UUUUAAGUCAAAUCUGCCCAAUGAUUGAAAAUUAAAUGGCUGCAGUAUUUUAACUGUACUAAGGUAGCAUAAUAAUUUGUUUUUUAAUUAAAAACUAGAAUAAAAGAUUUUAUGAAAUAUAUACUUUAUUUUUAAAAAUUAUUUAAUUUAUUAUUUAAGUAAAAAAACUUAAAUAAAUUUAAAAGACAAUAAGACCCUAUAAAAUUUUAUUAUAAAUUAUUUAUAAAAUAAUUAAUUUAUUAAUUUAUAAAUAACUUAUAAUUUAAUUGGGGUAAUUAAAAAAUUCAAAAAACUUUUUUAAAAAAAACAUAAAUUAAUGAAUUUUAUAUUUAAAAAUUUUAAUUAAUAAAAUUAAUUACUUUAGGGAUAACAGCAUAA
RNAcentral lists this ribosomal RNA (378 nucleotides) under Monitoriella elongata. RNAcentral describes it as "partial 16S ribosomal RNA". Lineage: Eukaryota; Metazoa; Arthropoda; Insecta; Hymenoptera; Braconidae. The record is from RNAcentral.